GUUCCGCUGCUUUUGACCCGUCUUGGUGGCGAUGCGCAGCUGUGCAGUGUGGUGCUUCUGCGUUCCGCUGCUUUUGACCCGUCUUGGUGGCGAUGCGCAGCUGUGCAGUGUGGUGCUUCUGCGUUCCGCUGCUUUUGACCCGUCUUGGUGGCGAUGCGCAGCUGUGCAGUGUGGUGGUUCUGCGUUCCGCUGCUUUUGACCCGUCUUGGUGGCGAUGCGCAGCAGUGCAGUGUGGUGCUUCUGCGUUCCGCUGCUUUUGACCCGUCUUGGUGGCGAUGCGCAGCUGUGCAGUGUGGUGCUUCUGCGUUCCGCUGCUUUUGACCCGUCUUGGUGGCGAUGCGCAGCAGUGCAGUGUGGUGCUUCUGCGUUCCGCUGCUUUUGACCCGUCUUGGUGGCGAUGCGCAGCAGUGCAGUGUGGUGCUUCUGCGUUCCGCUGCUUUUGACCCGUCUUGGUGGCGAUGCGCAGCUGUGCAGUGUGGUGGUUCUGCGUUCCGCUGCUUUUGACCCGUCUUGGUGGCGAUGCGCAGCUGUGCAGUGUGGUGCUUCUGCGUUCUGCUGCUUUUGACCCGUCUUGGUGGCGAUGCGCAGCUGUGCAGUGUGGUGCUUCUGCGUUCCGCUGCUUUUGACCCGUCUUGGUGGCGAUGCGCAGCUGUGCAGUGUGGUGCUUCUGCGUUCCGCUGCUUUUGACCCGUCUUGGUGGCGAUGCGCAGCUGUGCAGUGUGGUGCUUCUGCGUUCCGCUGCUUUUGACCCGUCUUGGUGGCGAUGCGCAGCUGUGCAGUGUGGUGCUUCUGCGUUCCGCUGCUUUUGACCCGUCUUGGUGGCGAUGCGCAGCAGUGCAGUGUGGUGGUUCUGCGUUCCGCUGCUUUUGACCCGUCUUGGUGGCGAUGCGCAGCAGUGCAGUGUGGUGCUUCUGCGUUCCGCUGCUUUUGACCCGUCUUGGUGGCGAUGCGCAGCUGUGCAGUGUGGUGCUUCUGCGUUCCGCUGCUUUUGACCCGUCUUGGUGGCGAUGCGCAGCUGUGCAGUGUGGUGCUUCUGCGUUCCGCUGCUUUUGACCGUCUUGGUGGCGAUGCGCAGCUGUGCAGUGUGGUGCUUCUGCGUUCCGCUGCUUUUGACCCGUCUUGGUGGCGAUGCGCAGCUGUGCAGUGUGGUGCUUCUGCGUUCCGCUGCUUUUGACCCGUCUUGGUGGCGAUGCGCAGCUGUGCAGUGUGGUGCUUCUGCGUUCCGCUGCUUUUGACCCGUCUUGGUGGCGAUGCGCAGCAGUGCAGUGUGGUGGUUCUGCGUUCCGCUGCUUUUGACCCGUCUUGGUGGCGAUGCGCAGCAGUGCAGUGUGGUGCUUCUGGUCGGCUUUGACCGUCGUGGCGUGGCAGUGUGUCCGCGCCUGCUUUUGACCCGUCUUGGUGGCGAUGCGCAGCUGUGCAGUGUGGUGCUUCUGCGUUCCGCUGCUUUUGACCCGUCUUGGUGGCGAUGCGCAGCUGUGCAGUGUGGUGCUUCUGCGUUCCGCUGCUUUUGACCCGUCUUGGUGGCGAUGCGCAGCAGUGCAGUGUGGUGUUCUGCGUUCCGCUGCUUUUGACCCGUCUUGGUGGCGAUGCGCAGCAGUGCAGUGUGGUGCUUCUGCGUUCCGCUGCUUUUGACCCGUCUUGGUGGCGAUGCGCAGCUGUGCAGUGUGGUGCUUCUGCGUUCCGCUGCUUUUGACCCGUCUUGGGGCGAUGCGCAGCUGUGCAGUGUGGUGGCUUCUGCGUUCCGCUGCUUUUGACCCGUCUUGGUGGCGAUGCGCAGCUGUGCAGUGUGGUGCUUCUGCGUUCCGCUGCUUUUGACCCGUCUUGGUGGCGAUGCGCAGCUGUGCAGUGUGGUGCUUCUGCGUUCCGCUGCUUUUGACCCGUCUUGGUGGCGAUGCGCAGCAGUGCAGUGUGGUGCUUCUGCGUUCCGCUGCUUUUGACCCGUCUUGGUGGCGAUGCGCAGCUGUGCAGUGUGGUGCUUCUGCGUUCCGCUGCUUUUGACCCGUCUUGGUGGCGAUGCGCAGCAGUGCAGUGUGGUGGUUCUGCGUUCCGCUGCUUUUGACCCGUCUUGGUGGCGAUGCGCAGCUGUGCAGUGUGGUGCUUCUGCGUUCCGCUGCUUUUGACCCGUCUUGGUGGCGAUGCGCAGCAGUGCAGUGUGGUGGUUCUGCGUUCCGCUGCUUUUGACCCGUCUUGGUGGCGAUGCGCAGCAGUGCAGUGUGGUGCUUCUGCGUUCCGCUGCUUUUGACCCGUCUUGGUGGCGAUGCGCAGCUGUGCAGUGUGGUGCUUCUGCGUUCCGCUGCUUUUGACCCGUCUUGGUGGCGAUGCGCAGCUGUGCAGUGUGGUGCUUCUGCGUUCCGCUGCUUUUGACCCGUCUUGGUGGCGAUGCGCAGCAGUGCAGUGUGGUGGUUCUGCGUUCCGCUGCUUUUGACCCGUCUUGGUGGCGAUGCGCAGCUGUGCAGUGUGGUGCUUCUGCGUUCCGCUGCUUUUGACCCGUCUUGGUGGCGAUGCGCAGCAGUGCAGUGUGGUGGUUCUGCGUUCCGCUGCUUUUGACCCGUCUUGGUGGCGAUGCGCAGCAGUGCAGUGUGGUGCUUCUGCGUUCCGCUGCUUUUGACCCGUCUUGGUGGCGAUGCGCAGCUGUGCAGUGUGGUGCUUCUGCGUUCCGCUGCUUUUGACCCGUCUUGGUGGCGAUGCGCAGCUGUGCAGUGUGGUGCUUCUGCGUUCCGCUGCUUUUGACCCGUCUUGGUGGCGAUGCGCAGCUGUGCAGUGUGGUGCUUCUGCGUUCCGCUGCUUUUGACCCGUCUUGGUGGCGAUGCGCAGCUGUGCAGUGUGGUGGUUCUGCGUUCCGCUGCUUUUGACCCGUCUUGGGUGCUUCUGCGUUCCGCUGCUUUUGACCCGUCUUGGUGGCGAUGCGCAGCUGUGCAGUGUGGUGCUUCUGC
This 2933-nucleotide ribosomal RNA is filed under the name Leishmania braziliensis MHOM/BR/75/M2904. The record is from RNAcentral. Lineage: Eukaryota; Euglenozoa; Kinetoplastea; Trypanosomatida; Trypanosomatidae.